CAUAUGUGAUUGGAUUUUGAGUUACUGCUAAUCCCAGGACAGAAUCUUUUCUUCUUCCCUUUGAUCUUUUUUCCUCCCUCUUUUUGGUCUCAAGAUGGGGAAAACUCCAGUGAACUUGGUAUCUGGGAAUGAGUGUCUGAGCAAAACUGACAGGUGGGGAGUAACUUGGGGAGACCCGAGACGUGGGUAGUGAUCUGGAGGCUGUGGGUUUCCCUGCAAGCCCAUUGGAAGGAUACCAGGAGAAUCAAAAAUUCCCAUUUUUGUGUUUGAAUCUAGCACACUCAUGUUUUUAAACUCCUCCACGAGCAUUUUAACCGAGAUUUCUUUUGCAAACUUGUCCCUUCUUUUUACUUUGACUAUAACGUAAGAGGGAAAGCACCAGAUGAAAGAGAACGCUUUUUGUAGCUGUGUGUGCCCCUUGCCCCCGUGUGCUCACGGCUGGGACGCGAGUGCUGGUGGGCUUUCGGAGCGUGUGUCGGGAAGUGUGCCUAAGAAGAGAAAUUCUGAAUUGGAGCGAUUUACACGUUGAUGCAUCUCAGACCUUGACUUAAAGCUUCGCUCCACCGAGAUGGUCCAUUCGAUUUAGAACACCAGGGCGAUUUACCCCGGCCCGAAAAUGAUCACCUGGCCUUUUUCAGCAUGCUUGAAGUCCGGUCACUUACGUCGUUUCAGAACUGAGUGAGGGACCUUCUUGCAGAGCAAUCAAGACGUGGCAGAGCCUGGGGCCCCCGCGCGGCCGACACCGUGCCUGGCGAGCGAGGUCAGUCUGGCAAGAGUUGGGGAAUGCUUGUUUGGCUGAGGUUUCCACAGGUGUGACCUAGUUCCUUGAUCCUCUGUAGAGAGUGGCUCGUUGAUUAGCAAGCCUUCUCCUCCUCUAGGAAGGAGGGCUGUGCUGGUUUUUCCCAGACCAAAGAGAAUCACUUGUGACUCCCAUUUCAAGGGGACAGAGCCUAGGAAGCAGCUUCUCCUAAUUUUUAACACUAAAACUCAAGGAAACAAUGAGGGAAAGGACAUAUUACUGGCACGGAUGGAAAUAGGGGAACGGUAGAACCCGCCCCCAGCACCUGUCAGCUCUCCAGUGCAUUCUGACGCGUCUUUGCUGAGCUGCCAAAGUGGGGGUUGGAAGUUGUUUCCUAACGAGAGAAGGGGUUUCGGGUGGCAGGCUCCAGAGUGAUAACUGCACUGAACGACACUUUAUUUUUUUUGGCUUAUUAUUUAGCACUGAAAAGCCAAGAGGGGUUGGUGAUGACGGUAGCACUUGGAGGGCAGAGGUCCCCUGUGGCCUUGCUUUGGAGAGAAGGCAUGCUUGGUGUUCCAUCUGGCUAAUCAGGGAAUCCCAAAGUCCAUACAGCUUCGGAGUGGAUAAAGGGCCCUCGAGUCCCUCGCCAAAAGAGUAGUUGCUUUCUUUGAGUUUUCAAAGUUUGACUUCUGGAUUUGCUGGAUCAAAUAACCCACUUUUUCUUUAAAAGAAAAAAAAAAGUGGAUUUACCCUUCUAAAUAUGGGGGGAACAGUUAGGGCUAGUGCUGUGUAAAAGUGGGUGAGGAGGGGGUAACCUUCAGAAACUUGUACUGCAAACUCCUUUGGGGGUUGCGAGGAGCACUACUGUUCUUAAAAGGGUUUUAUUUUUAACUUCAUCUGCUUUGUUAACAUCCAGUCCAGUUGAGAUGCCCGCGGAGACUAUGUGAAGACCUGGCGUGGGGGGAGGCCACCCGACUCAGAGGGUUGGGAAGGAAAUCGGUCUGGACAGCUUGUUGUCUUUUAUUCUUAUGUAAUAUUUGUGUUUGUUUCAGAGGACUAAUGUCUAUUACAGUGUUAAUAAAAGUGUAACAUACUAAGUGUGUAGAAUAAAAGUGCAGUAACAAGAGGAAGUUACCUUGGCACAAACCUCAGUCCUUCACUCUCCCUUCCUGUGCUGUCUCUUGGCGUAAUAUGGCAAACAAGACCAUAUUGUUUUUUAAGAGACAUGACUCUGGGUUAAAUCUUCAUCUAGUGUCGUUUUGGAUGGUUGGGUUUGGUUUUAUAGAGUGUCCCGUCUCCUCGUGGGGAUACACAGAUGCCACAUGUGCUGUAGAAUAAAGGUCACAUUAACAUUUGACAUUUA
Molecule: long non-coding RNA, 2102 nt
Organism: Lontra canadensis (Northern American river otter)
Lineage: Eukaryota; Metazoa; Chordata; Mammalia; Carnivora; Mustelidae
Exons: 2
Source: RefSeq, a predicted model, not a curated record